AUGUAUUUUGGGAGCUCUCUGCCGGCUUCUGGGGGAUUUUCCACCCGUGCCAACUCGGAACCGAAAGUUAACUUCUUAAUUUCCUUUACCCCAGAGGAACCCGACGUGCUCUAUUUGCAAACCCGCCACGUGAAACGGGAAGUACAGCCAUUCGGAGGCCGUUGGCUUGUAGAAAAUGAGAGCGUAAUUAAAAAGAAAAAGACCAUAGCGGCAGUGGAAAGCGUUUCGCUGGGAACCCUUCAUUAUGGCGAUAGUUUUAAUUACCGUUCAAGCUGCCUGCUGGUGCAUUCAAGAGAUUCCCGAAACAAUUCUGUGUCCUUUCCACCAUCGAACGCAAUGCAUUCGGUACACAUUAUUUCUGAUUUUCAUCUGAGCAAAUAAAUAUCUAGAAGAGGGAAAUGAUCAAACCACUGUUCCCUUUAGGAACACUGCAUAGACUACUGGGUUUCUACAAGUUUUAACUAUAGCUUAGAGUUGGUCACAGACCCAAAGGUCAAACACACUAAAAUAACAAUAAUAAUAAUGGUACUUGUUAAGCGCUUACUAUGUGCCAGGCACCGUUAUAGCCCUAGGAUAGCUAUAAGUUCAUCAGUUUGGACGGGGUCCCUGUCCCUCAUGGGGCUCAUAGUCGCCAUCCUCAUUUUCCAGAUGAGGUAACUGAGGGCCAGAGAAGUGAAGUGACUUGCCCAAGGUCACACAACAGACGAGUGGUGGAGCUGGGAUUAGAACCCGUGAAUUUCUGACUCCCGGGGCUGUGCUCUAUCCACUAAGCCAGGCUACUUCUCUAAAUUUGGUCUCAGGAGAGGAUGAAUCAGAAAACUGAUAAACUGGUAUUAGCCCAAGGAAGUCUCUGCUUCUAGCCCUCACGGUUACUUGUGCCGGCGUCACCCGGGACAGUAAGAGAUCUGCAUCGCUGAGAAGCUGGUACGGCUCCUUACCCCCAGCACUGGGAUAUCUACAUAUAUUGGACCGAAUGCUCCAUUUUACUUGUUCUGAUUCCACUGCUCGUGGGUAUUUCCUCAUUAGAGUGCAAGCGGAUCAUGGGCCGGGAACCCGUCUUGUGCUUCUGGUCUUCUUCCCGAGCGCUAAGUACAGCGGAUUUUCCUCGGUAGGGGCUCAGGGGAUAUCACAGCUAUCACUUCUAAGUGCUCGCUGAAUGAAAUGCAGUGGCUGGUUGGCUGUGCUUUAAACUCAAAUGGGGUCCAAGGUUUGGGCCCAACUUAACUCAAAUGGUUGGACAGGGCAGAGAGGUGUAGGGAAGUGGUGUGGCCUACAGUGAGGAAGUAAGGAAGAUCGGGUUCUAGAACUGGCUCAGCCACUGGCCUGAUGUAUACCUUUGGGCCAGUCACAACCUCUCUGGGCCCCAGUUUCUUCAUUUGUAAAAUGGACCUAAAAUACCCGUUUUCUCCCUACAUUUUAUGCCACGUGGCAUGCAUAGGACAGGGACUGUGUCCAGCCUGAUUAUCGCGUAUCUACCCCCGUGCUUAGUACAGCGUUUAGCACAUAAUAUCCACUUAACAUUAUUAUUACUACUGUUAAAGAGGAGUCUUGACCCAGGUGUGGCUCUUUCUAGUCAGGGCUAACUGAAAUGUAGGGACUGAAUGGAGUCAACAACGGCGCCUUCUCUAGAAGAAGCAGAGAAGCAGCGUGGCUCAGUGGAAAGAGUCCGGGCUCGGGAGUCGGAGGUCAUGAGUUCGAAUCCCGGCUCUGCCGCUUGUCAGCUGUGUGACUGUGGGCGAGUCGCUUCACUUCUCUGUGCCUCAGUUACCUCAUCUGUAAAAUGGGGAUUAACUGUGAGCCUCACGUGGGACAGCCUGAUGACCCUGUAUCUACCCCAGCGCUUAGAACAGUGCUCUGCACAUAGUAAGCGCUUAACAAAUACCAACAUUAUUAUUAUUAUUAGAAGCAGCAUGGCAGAGUGGAUAGAGCACGAACCUGGGAGUUAGGAGGUCAUGGGUUCUAAUCCUGGUUCUGACACUUGUCUGCUGUGUAGCCUUAUGCAAGGCACAUCGCUUCCCUGUGCAUUUACCUCAUCUGUAAAAUGGGGAUUGAGAAUAUGACCCCCAUGCGGGACAGGGACUGUGUCCAACCUGAUUUGCUUGUAUCCUCCCCAGCGCUUAGUUCAGUGUCUGACACAUAGUAAGUUCUUAACAAAUAGCACAAUUAUUAUCAUCUUCUCUAUUUAAUAAUAAUAGCAUUUGUUAGGCACUUCUUAUGGGCUAGCCGCUGGGGUGGGUACAGAGUUGUGGGACAGGGUACGGUCCAGUUUCCUCGGACUUCCUCAUCUAUGCCUAGUGAAAAUGAUCUCAGCAUAAACUCUUUGGGGUUUCCAAGUGGGCAUGCCUGGGGAAUUGGGAAAGGUAGAGGGUGUAGAUGGAAGUUUUCAUAUUCGGGGGAGUUUAACCAGGCCGUCGGAGAGAGGGAGGAUGGAGUAAGUGUGGAAACUGAUGCUCUAGUGAAGGGCAUGAAAACUGUCGCUGUCAGUGUUUUGGGGGUAGUCCUUUCGAUAUAUUCAUUUUCAAAAACCGGAUUUUGCUAUUUAAUCCAUUAGUGGUAUUUACUGAGUGCUUAUGGUGUGCAGAGCACUGUACUAAACCAACUGGGAGAGUACAGUACGACAGAGUCGGUAGGCACAUUCCCUGUCCGUAACUAGCUAAUGCAACAUAUAGUAGAAUCUGGUUUAUAUGCAAAGAAAUGCACUAAAAAUAAUUAGGUUGGCAUUUAGAGACCAACCGAUUAGAUCGUAUUUCAAAUAUUUCUUGCCGUACUACAGAAUGGAGGGAGCAAGAGAGAGAGGAGGACACAUGUUUAAAGUUUCGCUGCUCAAUUCCUGCACCAUUUCAUAACGCCACAUCAGAAAAAUCAGAGCCAAACAGUGAUCUAAUCCGACUGACUCCGUACUGUCGGAGAAUCGGGGCUUGAUUACAAGAUGAUCAAGUCUCUCUCAACAACUUCUGAUUGCGAGAUGUCACUCACUCAUUCCUAUGCAAAUAUUACUUCUCAUGAUUCGUGUGGAAUUUUCUUGAUCUCGGUGUCUACGCUGUUUAUCUAGAGGUCUCAGCUCCACUUCAGCUUUGUCUGCUUUGAAUCUUUGUGGCACACACAUUUGAUGACACUAAGUAGUAUAUUUAAGGUGGAAGAAUUAGACCAAUGGCAUCAGUGCUUCCUAAAGAGGGAAACCAGAUGGAUGCAGUGGGUUUACUAUGUCUUUUGACCUAUCUUUCCCUCAGAAGCACUGAGGAAAUUCAUCCAUAAUGUAUUUAUUUAUAUUAAUGUUGGUCUCCCUCUCUAUUCUUUCUGACCUAACCUUCCCUCAGCAGCACUGAGGGAAGUUACCCAUAAUUUAUUUAUUUAUAUUAAUGUCGGUCUCCCUCUCUAGACUGUAAGCUCCUAGUGGGCAGGGAAUGGGUCUACUAACUCUGUGGUAUUGUACCCUCCCAAGUGCUUAGUACAGCGCUCUGCAUAGAGAAAGGGCUAAAUAAUUACCAUUGACUGAUGGAUGGAAAUGAUGAUCCACUAUCAUCAUCAUCAUGAGUAGUAGUUUCAGAGCACUCAGGGCAUUGCGCUUGAGUCAAAAAACCUACCAAUCAAUCAACACCAUCUCUGGGCAUCUACUGAGGAGUAGGCAUGGUUACCAAGACACUUGAAAGUCUACAAAAGUAGCAAGACAUCACUUCAGGGGCGAUGCCGGUAUUUUAGGAGUCAAUUUCCCCACGGGACAAAUCCACUUCCGGAGAAUUAAAGAACCGAGCCCUUCAGGAGACUGGGCUCCAGUAGUCCAUCGAUCAGUCGGUGGUAUUUAUUGAGCAUUUCCUGAGUAGCGGGCACUGUACUAAGCACUUGAGAGAGCACGAUAAACCGGAGUUGGUAGGCACAUUCCCUGCCCACAAGGAGCUUAGAGUUGAGGGGAGACGGACGUUACUAUAGAUCCCCGCUUCUUACGAAGGGGAGUGGGCUCCGCCACCUCUCUGGACCCUCCGGGGCUACGCGCUGCUCCUGCUAUAGAGUCCUGGAAGGCAGGAAGACAUUUCUGUGAUCGCCAUUUUGUCACUGACCAUGGGGAAACUGUGGCGGCAUGACCCUCUCCAAGACCUUUCAGACCCCCCGACGGGGAACGCCCGGCUCCGAUGGAGAGCCAUCUCCACCCAUAAGUCACUGAGAGGAAAAUCAGGCUGAUUAACUACCUAGGGCCUAUUAAGUCCCACGGACUACUAAUGGCUUGAUAGCAUUCGACACAAAAUUAGCCCUUUGAACUCUUCGGAAAUCCCUAAAAAACAAAAUGAAAGUUAUGGCAUUUCUAGAUCAGCUGUCUGUCCCACAAUUCUGGAACUGGAUGGUUGUCUUAGUCCCUGUCUGAUUUUUAAGUUCUUUUUCUCCUCUUGCUCUUUUGCACUGGGGGGAAGGGGAGAGAGAAGGAAGCACGAGGCUAAUAAUGAAAAUGUGAUUAUACUCCAGUGAGCAGUAGGAACUUUGUAAGAGUGAUUGCAACAUUAGUAAUGAAUGGCCUCGGCGGAUGACAGGCGAAAAUGAAUGCCGACGUCUCUUACUGGCUCAGAGCUCUAAAGGAGCCACCGGGACGCAGGUAGCCUAUGCGGCCGGAUGAUGAAUGUUUUCCAUUUCUUUCGAAAGUGUUGGAAGACCAAAACGGAAAUGUAUGCGUACAAAUAAGGAUAGACAGCUUGAGGAGAAAGUUCCCUCCCUGCUGAGAAUCCGUGCCGGGUUUCAGUGUCAUCGGACUGGGAUCACACACCCGUUUGGCCCUUGCAACCUCUCCACUCCCAAGCUGCAGCUCCCCGGUCACUGGCAAGCCCAACUCGCAUUCUAAUGCCCGCACCUUGAGGGAGGCCAUGUGCAUGCCUGCUGCCUUUCAUUCAUUCAUUCAAUAGUAUUUACUGAGCGCUUACUAUGUGCAGAGCACUGUACUGAGCGCUUGGAAUGUACAAGUCGGCAACAGAUACAGACCCUGCCCUUUGACGGGCUCACGGUCUAAUCGGGGGAGACGGGCAGACGAGAACAAUGGUAAUAAGUAAAGUCGAGGGGAAGAACAUCUCAUAAAAACAAUGGCAACUAAAUAGAAUCAGGGUGAUGUACAUCCCAUUAAACAAAAUAAACAAAAUAAAUAGGGUG
RNAcentral lists this long non-coding RNA (5127 nucleotides) under Ornithorhynchus anatinus (platypus). RNAcentral describes it as "lncRNA (ENSOANG00000037898.1)". The record is from RNAcentral. Lineage: Eukaryota; Metazoa; Chordata; Mammalia; Monotremata; Ornithorhynchidae.